AAGUAAUACGAGCGCCUUGGAGUAGCCUUUAUACUGGCUGUGGGAAAACAGACCUCGCCAUCGCCAUGGCGUACGAUCCCAAGGACGACGUCGAUCGACUCUUCGCUUGCUUCAAGUGCGGAAUCUCCACUCCCGAAUCCGCACUGAAAGAAAGGAAAUCACGGCUGGAGAGAUCCAAGAGAGCGAGCUUGGUGGAAGGGGGAGCCUCAUUGGUUGCCAAAGUGGUGAGACCGACCUCAUCUAGGCAGGAAGAGCGGGUUUCACCUAAUAAAGAGGAGCCUGUUGUAUCAACAUCUGUUGCAAUUAAAUCUAAUAAAAGCAAGCAGAUCUCUCCAAUUGUCUUUUAUGGUUCCCCACAUGGUGCUCCAGUAAAAAAGCCAUCACAGUUAUUGCGAUUAUUACGUGAAAUUCAUGUCGAUCUCAGAGAGCAGAAUAGUCUGAUCCCCAGGAAGGAGGUCUGGGCAACUUUUCCUAGACAAGAUGAGGCAAUGAGAUUCUGGAAAACACAUGCACAUGCUAGUGUGUUUAGUUAUCAAGAUCACUUGAGCGGGCAAAGACGAUUCCUUGUGUCUACAUAUGAUGAGUUAUGGGGAAGGUACAAAAACAUGGAUUCCAAAUUACACCACCAUUAUGAAGUUAUUCAAGAGGGUGCUCCUUGCCACUUGUAUUUUGAUCUGGAAUUUGACAAGAAAAUCAACAAUGAUAGAAAUGUAGAUGAAAUGGUAGACACCUUGAUAUUUGUCACUUAUAAAGUCUUAUUUGACAAAUACUCUAUACAAGGAAAUGAAGAAUGGGUGGUAGAGCUUGAUUCAUCUACCAAAGAAAAAUUUUCACGUCAUUUGAUCAUCCGCAUUCCAAAGACUGCCUUUAAGGACAACUCACAUGUUGGUGCAUUUGUUUCAGAGGUAUGUUCACAUAUUGCAAGUUUACGGGGAAGUGAUCCACAGCUUGACAAAUUGUACAUUAGGAAAGACACAAGCUGUCCUGAAUCCUCAUGUCAGCUUUUUUUGGACAAUGCUGUUUAUUCUCGAAAUCGUUGUUUCCGUCUAGCUUUCUCUUCCAAAGCUGGAAAAACUUCUUUUCUGAUGCCCACUGGACGUUUCAAAUGUAAGAAUAUGAGUGAGCAGCAGGUGUUUAUGGAAUCCCUCAUCUGCAGAAUGGAUGUCGAUUGUGAAAAACUUCUAAAAUGCAAAAUGGAUUUAGAUUGCAACAAAAUCUUGUACUUUGAUUCUGAGGCUCGUGAAACUAAUUCAAAUCCCCAACAAACUGUUUUAUUCAAUACUUAUAGAAGUGAUUUUCCAAGCACAUACUUCUCAGGAAAGUCGCCAUUUCCAGCUUUGGAUGCAUUUGUGGAAUCUAUUGCCUCUAUUGGAAAUGUUCCAGGAAGAAUUCGGAGUUGGUAUUGGUUUUCAGUAUGUGGUUUGAUGGUCUAUAAUAUGUCAAAGAGUAGAUAUUGUGAGCGGAUUGGAAGAGAACAUAAAAGCAAUCAUGAUUACAUUCCUUAUCAAAAUAAGGCUGAAUCAAGCUAGAUUUGUGACUGGUCAAGGUUGCCAUUAUUACAACUCUUCGCCCCUUCGAGAUACCUUGUCUUCAAGGUGAAUAUCAAGAAAGCGAAGGGUGAGAUCAUCAUGGUCCUCCCAAGUCGCUUCUUCUCUUGUGCCAUCCCUCUAAGAAACAAGAAUCCCUGUUCGGAGAUGACUAUCGACAUGAUGGUGACGGUGAUCCAACACUUCCAUUGGAAUAUGUGGUCGAUCUUCAACCAAUUCAGGAGGCAAAGUACAAGUGGUGGGAGGUUCUUCUCGGAAGGACUUUAGUUUGGAAACAUGGAAAACAUCGUGAAUACGGGCCCCAGAAGGAAGCUUCCAUCUAUAAGUCGCAGGUCCUAUUUUUUCUAUCACCUCGGAGGAACUAUAGAAAGUAGGGGACAGCUUGGACUAAAAAGAACUCUUGGUAGAUGCUUGUUGGUAUCUCGGUAGUUGGAGAAGAAUAUGGUCACCAAUAGAGAACUCCCUCUCCUUGUGCCGCCGAUUAUAAUAUUGCUUCAUGCUAUUUUGGACAGCUGCUAAGUGUUGCUUUAAAGUCUUCAAGUGCUCAUCUCUUUUAGUUCACUCAGCAUCUACCAUCUCAACUCUUGUAGCCCCUCUCUGUCCACGGCCAUGAUCAUAAGGAUUUCGGUCGUCAUCAUCUUGUUGACGUAGAACCUCAUGGUGGGCUGCUGGUAUCUUUGUCUAAGUAAAAGUUGAAAGCCGUGGAAGUAUGAAACCAACCCUUUGCUAUCCUAAAACAGCAGUAGACUGGCCAGCCUUAAUGGUAAAGGUGGUCGGUCUAUAGUCCUCCAAGUAUUCAUCAUCAUACUUCUUACCAAUGUAUGGAUCUUGCGAGGGUAGUGCAUAGAUGAAGAUGAGCUAUUUAUGCAAACCUUUGGAUUGCUGGUUUGCUGAAAGAAAAUCCCCAAAAUUAGAAACAAGGUGUUUCUUAUCAUGUCCCAACACUAUUCCUUGGCCAUAAGGCGCAUCGGUUAUGUGGGGCUGCACUGAAGUGCCUCUCCUACCUGUAAAGGGGUCGGUGACUUGUGGGAACACCAUAUCUUUUUCUCUGAUAAAAAUAAGGGACACCGCAACCCUAUUUUUGUUCGAAACAUUGUGCGUGGGUGAGGGAUCCGGUUGAAGUAUGCCACAUCGGGGCCGAAGGCGUUGUUUGUGUGACGCUAUCAGGCACAGGAGAGUAGAGUUUGAAGAAUCUUUGGUUAUCUUCAACUUUCUCUAGCCACCACGUUAAGGCAUUGAUGGAGGAUAAUAUCUUUUGGAGAGAUUGUUCGAUCGAUAGAGCUUGAGUGCCUUCAAUUUUGGCAUUAUUUUUCUUCAUCAUAGGUUUAGAUGUCGGAGAAGUCGUCAUGAACAUCGAAGAAGAAAUCAGCAAAAAGAGUGAAUCAUUGUUGGGCUCUGAUACCAAAUUGUUAGGAUUUAUACUUUUCUAACAAGAGUCUCUCUAAUUCGGGGAUGAGAAGGGCUCCGAAGGCAAUAACAUUAAUGCUGAAAAUUAAAGAAAUCAGAGAAGAAUAGCAAUCCCUGUCCUUUAAGGGUGGCUGGCCAGGCUUAUUUAUUAAUCUAGCUAGUGCCUUCUAUACUAGCUAGAUUAGUAAGGAAAUGAAGAGAAAAAUAAUAGUCAUGUACAUUGUUGAUUUCCAAAGGCCUGGCUAUUAUCAGAAAUGCUAUGACCCUGAUUGUAGAGGUUACCGUUCUCCAUUGCGUCCAGUACCAUGGGAUCUGAUUCCUGACAGUAGGGCACUAUUCAGUUCAGUAAAUACAGAAAAUUGCAGGGAGAUUAUGGACAUAGGUUUUGAUACUCAGUUUGAUGGAAAUAACAUGGAAAACAAUUCGUGCGAUAAUGG
This is an RNA transcript of Elaeis guineensis (African oil palm), 3391 nucleotides long. RefSeq lists it as uncharacterized. Lineage: Eukaryota; Viridiplantae; Streptophyta; Magnoliopsida; Arecales; Arecaceae. The record is from RefSeq and is a predicted model, not a curated record.